UGCAAGUCGAGCGGGGAAAAGUAGCUUGCUACUUAACUUAGCGGCGGACGGGUGAGUAAUACUUAGGAAUCUGCCUAUUAGUGGGGGACAACAUUUCGAAAGGAAUGCUAAUACCGCAUACGUCCUACGGGAGAAAGCAGGGGAUCACUUGUGACCUUGCGCUAAUAGAUGAGCCUAAGUCGGAUUAGCUAGUUGGUGGGGUAAAGGCCUACCAAGGCGACGAUCUGUAGCGGGUCUGAGAGGAUGAUCCGCCACACUGGGACUGAGACACGGCCCAGACUCCUACGGGAGGCAGCAGUGGGGAAUAUUGGACAAUGGGGGGAACCCUGAUCCAGCCAUGCCGCGUGUGUGAAGAAGGCCUUUUGGUUGUAAAGCACUUUAAGCGAGGAGGAGGCUACUCUAGUUAAUACCUAGGGAUAGUGGACGUUACUCGCAGAAUAAGCACCGGCUAACUCUGUGCCAGCAGCCGCGGUAAUACAGAGGGUGCGAGCGUUAAUCGGAUUUACUGGGCGUAAAGCGUGCGUAGGUGGCCAAUUAAGUCAAAUGUGAAAUCCCCGAGCUUAACUUGGGAAUUGCAUUCGAUACUGGUUGGCUAGAGUAUGGGAGAGGAUGGUAGAAUUCCAGGUGUAGCGGUGAAAUGCGUAGAGAUCUGGAGGAAUACCGAUGGCGAAGGCAGCCAUCUGGCCUAAUACUGACACUGAGGUACGAAAGCAUGGGGAGCAAACAGGAUUAGAUACCCUGGUAGUCCAUGCCGUAAACGAUGUCUACUAGCCGUUGGGGUCUUUGAG
RNAcentral lists this ribosomal RNA (788 nucleotides) under uncultured bacterium. RNAcentral describes it as "bacterial SSU rRNA". It matches the Rfam family "Bacterial small subunit ribosomal RNA", at positions 56 to 836 of the family's 1533-position model. RNAcentral also lists the same sequence under 1 other name. The record is from RNAcentral.